RNAcentral lists this ribosomal RNA (567 nucleotides) under uncultured bacterium. RNAcentral describes it as "partial 16S ribosomal RNA". It matches the Rfam family "Bacterial small subunit ribosomal RNA", at positions 355 to 940 of the family's 1533-position model. The record is from RNAcentral.
UGGGGAAUAUUGCACAAUGGGCGCAAGCCUGAUGCAGCCAUGCCGCGUGUGUGAAGAAGGCCUUCGGGUUGUAAAGCUCUGUCUUUUGGGACGAUAAUGACGGUACCAAAGGAGGAAGCCACGGCUAACUACGUGCCAGCAGCCGCGGUAAUACGUAGGUGGCAAGCGUUGUCCGGAUUUACUGGGCGUAAAGGAUGCGUAGGCGGAUUUUUAAGUGAGAUGUGAAAACCCUAAGCUUAACUUGGGGACUGCAUUUCAUACUGGAAAUCUAGAGUGCGGGAGAGGAGAAUGGAAUUCCUAGUGUAGCGGUGAAAUGCGUAGAGAUUAGGAAGAACACCAGUGGCGAAGGCGAUUCUCUGGACCGUAACUGACGCUGAGGCAUGAAAGCGUGGGUAGCAAACAGGAUUAGAUACCCUGGUAGUCCACGCCGUAAACGAUGAGUACUAGGUGUAGGAGGUAUCGACCCCUUCUGUGCCGCAGUUAACACAAUAAGUACUCCGCCUGGGGAAGUACGAUCGCAAGAUUAAAAACUCAAAUGAAUUGACGGGGGUCAUAGCUGUUUUUCCU